RNAcentral lists this ribosomal RNA (2932 nucleotides) under Escherichia coli. RNAcentral describes it as "23S ribosomal RNA". It matches the Rfam family "Bacterial large subunit ribosomal RNA". The record is from RNAcentral. Lineage: Bacteria; Pseudomonadati; Pseudomonadota; Gammaproteobacteria; Enterobacterales; Enterobacteriaceae.
GGGUUGUGAGGUUAAGCGACUAAGCGUACACGGUGGAUGCCCUGGCAGUCAGAGGCGAUGAAGGACGUGCUAAUCUGCGAUAAGCGUCGGUAAGGUGAUAUGAACCGUUAUAACCGGCGAUUUCCGAAUGGGGAAACCCAGUGUGAUUCGUCACACUAUCAUUAACUGAAUCCAUAGGUUAAUGAGGCGAACCGGGGGAACUGAAACAUCUAAGUACCCCGAGGAAAAGAAAUCAACCGAGAUUCCCCCAGUAGCGGCGAGCGAACGGGGAGCAGCCCAGAGCCUGAAUCAGUGUGUGUGUUAGUGGAAGCGUCUGGAAAGGCGUGCGAUACAGGGUGACAGCCCCGUACACAAAAAUGCACAUGCUGUGAGCUCGAUGAGUAGGGCGGGACACGUGGUAUCCUGUCUGAAUAUGGGGGGACCAUCCUCCAAGGCUAAAUACUCCUGACUGACCGAUAGUGAACCAGUACCGUGAGGGAAAGGCGAAAAGAACCCCGGCGAGGGGAGUGAAAAAGAACCUGAAACCGUGUACGUACAAGCAGUGGGAGCACAGAGCAAUCUGUGUGACUGCGUACCUUUUGUAUAAUGGGUCAGCGACUUAUAUUCUGUAGCAAGGUUAACCGAAUAGGGGAGCCGAAGGGAAACCGAGUCUUAACUGGGCGUUAAGUUGCAGGGUAUAGACCCGAAACCCGGUGAUCUAGCCAUGGGCAGGUUGAAGGUUGGGUAACACUAACUGGAGGACCGAACCGACUAAUGUUGAAAAAUUAGCGGAUGACUUGUGGCUGGGGGUGAAAGGCCAAUCAAACCGGGAGAUAGCUGGUUCUCCCCGAAAGCUAUUUAGGUAGCGCCUCGUGAAUUCAUCUCCGGGGGUAGAGCACUGUUUCGGCAAGGGGGUCAUCCCGACUUACCAACCCGAUGCAAACUGCGAAUACCGGAGAAUGUUAUCACGGGAGACACACGGCGGGUGCUAACGUCCGUCGUGAAGAGGGAAACAACCCAGACCGCCAGCUAAGGUCCCAAAGUCAUGGUUAAGUGGGAAACGAUGUGGGAAGGCCCAGACAGCCAGGAUGUUGGCUUAGAAGCAGCCAUCAUUUAAAGAAAGCGUAAUAGCUCACUGGUCGAGUCGGCCUGCGCGGAAGAUGUAACGGGGCUAAACCAUGCACCGAAGCUGCGGCAGCGACGCUUAUGCGUUGUUGGGUAGGGGAGCGUUCUGUAAGCCUGCGAAGGUGUGCUGUGAGGCAUGCUGGAGGUAUCAGAAGUGCGAAUGCUGACAUAAGUAACGAUAAAGCGGGUGAAAAGCCCGCUCGCCGGAAGACCAAGGGUUCCUGUCCAACGUUAAUCGGGGCAGGGUGAGUCGACCCCUAAGGCGAGGCCGAAAGGCGUAGUCGAUGGGAAACAGGUUAAUAUUCCUGUACUUGGUGUUACUGCGAAGGGGGGACGGAGAAGGCUAUGUUGGCCGGGCGACGGUUGUCCCGGUUUAAGCGUGUAGGCUGGUUUUCCAGGCAAAUCCGGAAAAUCAAGGCUGAGGCGUGAUGACGAGGCACUACGGUGCUGAAGCAACAAAUGCCCUGCUUCCAGGAAAAGCCUCUAAGCAUCAGGUAACAUCAAAUCGUACCCCAAACCGACACAGGUGGUCAGGUAGAGAAUACCAAGGCGCUUGAGAGAACUCGGGUGAAGGAACUAGGCAAAAUGGUGCCGUAACUUCGGGAGAAGGCACGCUGAUAUGUAGGUGAAGUCCCUCGCGGAUGGAGCUGAAAUCAGUCGAAGAUACCAGCUGGCUGCAACUGUUUAUUAAAAACACAGCACUGUGCAAACACGAAAGUGGACGUAUACGGUGUGACGCCUGCCCGGUGCCGGAAGGUUAAUUGAUGGGGUCAGCGCAAGCGAAGCUCUUGAUCGAAGCCCCGGUAAACGGCGGCCGUAACUAUAACGGUCCUAAGGUAGCGAAAUUCCUUGUCGGGUAAGUUCCGACCUGCACGAAUGGCGUAAUGAUGGCCAGGCUGUCUCCACCCGAGACUCAGUGAAAUUGAACUCGCUGUGAAGAUGCAGUGUACCCGCGGCAAGACGGAAAGACCCCGUGAACCUUUACUAUAGCUUGACACUGAACAUUGAGCCUUGAUGUGUAGGAUAGGUGGGAGGCUUUGAAGUGUGGACGCCAGUCUGCAUGGAGCCGACCUUGAAAUACCACCCUUUAAUGUUUGAUGUUCUAACGUUGACCCGUGAUCCGGGUUGCGGACAGUGUCUGGUGGGUAGUUUGACUGGGGCGGUCUCCUCCUAAAGAGUAACGGAGGAGCACGAAGGUUGGCUAAUCCUGGUCGGACAUCAGGAGGUUAGUGCAAUGGCAUAAGCCAGCUUGACUGCGAGCGUGACGGCGCGAGCAGGUGCGAAAGCAGGUCAUAGUGAUCCGGUGGUUCUGAAUGGAAGGGCCAUCGCUCAACGGAUAAAAGGUACUCCGGGGAUAACAGGCUGAUACCGCCCAAGAGUUCAUAUCGACGGCGGUGUUUGGCACCUCGAUGUCGGCUCAUCACAUCCUGGGGCUGAAGUAGGUCCCAAGGGUAUGGCUGUUCGCCAUUUAAAGUGGUACGCGAGCUGGGUUUAGAACGUCGUGAGACAGUUCGGUCCCUAUCUGCCGUGGGCGCUGGAGAACUGAGGGGGGCUGCUCCUAGUACGAGAGGACCGGAGUGGACGCAUCACUGGUGUUCGGGUUGUCAUGCCAAUGGCACUGCCCGGUAGCUAAAUGCGGAAGAGAUAAGUGCUGAAAGCAUCUAAGCACGAAACUUGCCCCGAGAUGAGUUCUCCCUGACUCCUUGAGAGUCCUGAAGGAACGUUGAAGACGACGACGUUGAUAGGCCGGGUGUGUAAGCGCAGCGAUGCGUUGAGCUAACCGGUACUAAUGAACCGUGAGGCUUAACCUUACAACGCCGAAGCUGUU